GAUGGAUUUUCGAAGAGAAAAUGAGUGAUUUUUGGGUUAAAUGGGGGAUUUUCAAAGAGAAACGGCAUGAUUUUUGGGUUAAAUGGGGAAUUUUCGAAAAGAAAACAGGUGAUUUUCAGGUUAAAUGGGGGAUUUUCAAAGAGAAAAUGGGUGAUUUCUGCAUAAAUGGGGGAUUUUUGAAAAGAAAACAGGUGAUUUUUGUGGUAAAUGGGGGAUUUUCAAAGAAAAAAUGGAUUAUUUUCGCUAAAAUGAAGGAUUUUCAAAGAGUAAAUGAAUGAUUUUCGCUUAACUUGGGGUUUUUCAAUGAGAAAAUGGGUGAUUUUCACUAAAAUGAGGGAUUAUCAAAGAGAAAAUGGGUGAUUUUUGUGUAAAUGAGGGAUUCUCGAAGGGAAAAUGGGUGAUUUUGGGGUUAAAUGGGGGAUUUUCAAAGAGAAAAUGCAUGAUUUUCUAGUUAAAUGGAUAACUUUUGAAGGGAAAAUGGUUGUUUUUUGCGUAAAUGGGGUUUUUCGAAAAGAAAACGGGUGAUUUUCGGGUUAAAUAGGGGACUUUCAAAGAAAAAAUGCGUGAUUUUUUAGUUAAAUGGGAAUUUUUUUUAAGAGAAAAUGAGUGAUUUUCGCUUAAAUUGGUUUUUUUCAAAGAGAAAAUGCAUGAUUUGGGGGAUAAAAGGGGGAUUUCUGAAGAGAAAAUGGGUGAUUUUUGCGUAAAUGAGCGAUUUUCGCAGAGAAAAUGGAUGAUUGUCGUGUUAAAUGGGGGAUUUUCGAAGAGAAAAUGGGUGAUUUUUGGGAUAAAUGGGGGGUUUUUGAAGAGAAAAUGGGUGAUUUCUGCGUAAAUGGAGGAUUUUUGAAGAGAAAACAGGUGAUUUUUGUGGUAAAUGGGGGAUUUUCAAAGAAAAAAUGGAUUAUUUUCGCUAAAAUGAAGGAUUUUCAAAGAGUAAAUGAAUGAUUUUUGCUUAAAUUGGGGAUUUUCAAUGAGAAAAUGGGUGAUUUUGGGGUUAA
RNAcentral lists this long non-coding RNA (995 nucleotides) under Gallus gallus (chicken). RNAcentral's name for it is "lncRNA (ENSGALG00010019272.1)". Lineage: Eukaryota; Metazoa; Chordata; Aves; Galliformes; Phasianidae. The record is from RNAcentral.